CACCUUGAGUGGUUAAGGCUCCCAGUAGACGACUGGGUUGAUAGGCCAGAUGUGGAAGCCCGGUAACGGGUGGAGCUGACUGGUACUAAUAGGCCGAGGGCUUGUCCU
Molecule: ribosomal RNA, 108 nt
Filed under: Streptomyces sp. DpondAA-A50
Lineage: Bacteria; Bacillati; Actinomycetota; Actinomycetes; Kitasatosporales; Streptomycetaceae
Description: partial 23S ribosomal RNA
Rfam family: Bacterial large subunit ribosomal RNA
Source: RNAcentral